GAUGAACGCUGGCGGCGUGCCUAAUACAUGCAAGUCGAGCGAACAGACGAGGAGCUUGCUCCUCUGACGUUAGCGGCGGACGGGUGAGUAACACGUGGAUAACCUACCUAUAAGACUGGGAUAACUUCGGGAAACCGGAGCUAAUACCGGAUAAUAUAUUGAACCGCAUGGUUCAAUAGUGAAAGACGGUUUUGCUGUCACUUAUAGAUGGAUCCGCGCCGCAUUAGCUAGUUGGUAAGGUAACGGCUUACCAAGGCGACGAUGCGUAGCCGACCUGAGAGGGUGAUCGGCCACACUGGAACUGACACACGGUCCAGACUCCUACGGGAGGCAGCAGUAGGGAAUCUUCCGCAAUGGGCGAAAGCCUGACGGAGCAACGCCGCGUGAGUGAUGAAGGUCUUCGGAUCGUAAAACUCUGUUAUUAGGGAAGAACAAAUGUGUAAGUAACUAUGCACGUCUUGACGGUACCUAAUCAGAAAGCCACGGCUAACUACGUG
RNAcentral lists this ribosomal RNA (497 nucleotides) under uncultured bacterium. Its description in RNAcentral is "partial 16S ribosomal RNA". It matches the Rfam family "Bacterial small subunit ribosomal RNA", at positions 28 to 507 of the family's 1533-position model. The record is from RNAcentral.